This 789-nucleotide ribosomal RNA is filed under the name uncultured Staphylococcus sp. RNAcentral describes it as "bacterial SSU rRNA". It matches the Rfam family "Bacterial small subunit ribosomal RNA", at positions 129 to 904 of the family's 1533-position model. The record is from RNAcentral. Lineage: Bacteria; Bacillati; Bacillota; Bacilli; Caryophanales; Staphylococcaceae.
CCUAUAAGACUGGGAUAACUUCGGGAAACCGGAGCUAAUGCCGGAUAACAUUUGGAACCGCAUGGUUCUAAAGUAAAAGAUGGUUUUGCUAUCACUUAUAGAUGGACCCGCGCCGUAUUAGCUAGUUGGUAAGGUAACGGCUUACCAAGGCAACGAUACGUAGCCGACCUGAGAGGGUGAUCGGCCACACUGGAACUGAGACACGGUCCAGACUCCUACGGGAGGCAGCAGUAGGGAAUCUUCCGCAAUGGACGAAAGUCUGACGGAGCAACGCCGCGUGAGUGAUGAAGGUUUUCGGAUCGUAAAACUCUGUUAUUAGGGAAGAACAAAUGUGUAAGUAACUGUGCACAUCUUGACGGUACCUAAUCAGAAAGCCACGGCUAACUACGUGCCAGCAGCCGCGGUAAUACGUAGGUGGCAAGCGUUAUCCGGAAUUAUUGGGCGUAAAGCGCGCGUAGGCGGUUCCUUAAGUCUGAUGUGAAAGCCCACGGCUCAACCGUGGAGGGUCAUUGGAAACUGGGAAACUUGAGUACAGAAGAGGAAAGUGGAAUUCCAUGUGUAGCGGUGAAAUGCGCAGAGAUAUGGAGGAACACCAGUGGCGAAGGCGACUUUCUGGUCUGUAACUGACGCUGAUGUGCGAAAGCGUGGGGAUCAAACAGGAUUAGAUACCCUGGUAGUCCACGCCGUAAACGAUGAGUGCUAAGUGUUAGGGGGUUUCCGCCCCUUAGUGCUGCAGCUAACGCAUUAAGCACUCCGCCUGGGGAGUACGACCGCAAGGUUGAAACUCAA